GUGCCCCGCAGAGACUCGUCAUCCCCAUUCCCACGCCCGAUCCUCCCCAACCCCCUGCCCACGGCGCCGUCGGCCAGAUCACUGCCCAGCGCGCCGCCAGCCGGAUCCCCGCCCAGCGCGCCGCCGGCCGGAUCCCUCCCCAGCGUGCCGCCGCCCUGCUCCCUCCCCAGCGCGUCGCCGCCCGGCUCCUUCCCCAUCGCUCCGCCGCCCGGUUACCUCCCAGCGCGCCGCCGCCCGAUUCCUUCCCCAGUGCUCCGCCUCCAGGCUUCCUCCCCAGAGUGCCGCCCGGCUCCCUCCCUAGAAGCCACCGCGGCAUGUUCCUCUGCCGGCCAACGGACACGGUGGGCCAUUCAACUUCCUACCGCUGGCCGUCCUCCCUGCCGCGGGGCACCUCUCCCCCCUGCGCUGUCCGUGGAGACAUUCCCCUAUGAGCUUGAGGCAGAGCUCACCUUCUCCACAUCCCCUUCCUCUACUUGUUGCAGCCAUCUACGCCGUAGGUCGUCACACAUCGAGCAGUUCAAUGUGUAUUUUUAGAAGAAAAUCAACAACGGCGGCUGCACUGGAGUAGCAGGACUACUAUUGUUGAUAGGGGGCUAUAAGAUGUUGACUGUCAUUGCCCUUCCAUAGAUAUUGUUGGUGUCGAACCAUUCGCUGUGAGUUUCAGCCCAUAGGUUGCUCAUGAUCCUUGCUUCUUAAGCUCCACUUUGUCGGCGCCGUCAGUCCACAGAAGUAGGGGCGGCGUGCCCAUCAACAAACAAGAACAGAAGGCGAAAUCCUGGCACACCUGAUAGUUGAAACUUACACAUGGCCUGCGACCAACUGCGCCGCCUCUAUAAGCUCCUCGGGAAUGAUUUGGUAGUAGCUGGGAUCCCCUUACAGCGGCAAAAUCCCGGUGCACCCAGCCGCCGCUCGUGAUCCCUGCUCCUUCAGCUCGACUUCGCCGGUGUCGUCAGUCCACAGGAGUAGGAGCGUCAUGCCCGGCAACAAACAAGAACAGAAGGAACUGCACGCUAUAUACUGAAUUUCUACAGAAACUGCUGCAUAUACAUGACUUAUGAGGCUACCAGAGGCUACUACACCUCCAGAUUAUUGACAGCCUGCAACUUACUUGCUUCCAACAUGAUAGUAACACAUUCUAAGGUUCGUAAUCGGCUACUUCAGAACGCUGUUGCUAUUCUGUGGGUAAAGGUCCUCAUUUUGUUGAUGGUGGCAUCUUACAAAGAAAAGGUAACCUGCAUUUACUUAUUAUUCUUGUACUUUGCCCUUCAAAUAUAGAAGUAGGAUCAAUGUCAAUAAGCAUUUUCACAACUUCUCUUAUUGUCGGUCGCUCAGAAGCCGCUCGUAUAAUUCAAGCAAUGGCAAAUGUUAAGGACCUUUAUUAUAACUUUUGAUCCAUAGUUGCUAACUUUUAGAUCACAAACCGCUGUAGUAUUCCGGUCUGAACAUUGGGAUCAAACUCAUUUUGAUCAUGACAUGAUAAAAAAUGGAAUGGUGGGAAGUAGCAGGUCCAGUUUCUAGUAAAUGGGAUCGUGGGCAGAUGCAUAAUAGUCCUAUCCUAUAAUCUGCAGUUUUCAGGAUAAACGGGAUCAAACGGCUUCUUCCCCAGACCAUGCACGGCUUUCUGCCUAGGCAAACCCCUUUUAUUCCUCCCAGGCACAACCACAACAUCCUUUUUAGUCCAAAUUGACCGCUGACUGCGGUCCAAGUUCAGCAAAUAAUUUUUUAUUUCGGUCCAACCUGGUCGUCCCAAGCAAUUCACCGUCGCAGCUACUAGGCCGAUUGCGUCGAGCCUCCUGCCACCGCCGGUGGGGCUCCAUCGCCGUACUGCCCAUACCGUUCACCGCCACCACACCGGAUCGUUCAACGACACAACCCAAAGCAGUUCAACACCGCGGCUCGGGAGGCACACACUUCGCCCCUCCAUCCCAGGAGAGCAGUAAAUCUCCUUGUGCACGAGCAGUCCUUUGCCGAUGUACACUGCUGCUCUAAGCUCUUUGGCCACUUCUCCAAUAUGUCCAGCACCGUCCCAGUCCAGUCCCGUGGCAUCCCGACGGUCGAGUUCAUGCCGAGCAGCAGUCCACGACCGUCAGCUCCUAUUUCCACUAUAGUGGUUGGGUUGCCGUUUUCCUCAUCCUUCCCGGUGCGCGACAACCCAGCCCACAUCUUGCUGCCGUUCGCCACCCCAAAAUAGCUUCAUCUAUGUAAAUGCUACUAAAUCAGUGGUUUGAUUUAGCAGCCUCCUUCAGUUCAACCACAUGAACUAAAGUAAUCAGAGAAGAACAAUAUACUGAAGAACAAUGUACUGAGUUUUUUGUUAACCAGCGAAGAAAAAUAUACUGAAAUUACAGGGGAUAACACAAUGCAGUGCUAGUCACUAUCGUUAGUACUUAAUGUGAGUCAAAAAAGAAGUGUUGGACAAUGGUUCGUUGUUAAUUAGUGACCAGAACUAGUGUACUUUGGAUUAUUCUAGUGCAAAUGUAGCCUCAAAUUCCUAGUAUGUGUGAACAUGCACACAUCUGACAGAAAAUGGGUUCAUGAGAAAAUGAGGUUCUUAUGAUCAUGUUUGUUGUUAACUUAUUCAGAAGAAAUGCUAUUAAGUUAUAUCAUUAGUGAAAACACAGUUAACUUAUCAAAAAAUAAUUGUAUCAGUUCUGACUCGAGAGGGUGUAAGUGCAGAAGAAAAAAUUGGUUGGUGUAAAGGGUCAUCGAUUGAAAAGUUUAUAAGUUCACCACGACGUCUCAGAUAAGUUCAUGAAAAAGAGUAAACAAAAAAGAAACCCAAAAUGGGAAUUCGAAUGGUAAAAGUUUAAGUCAAAAAUUUCUACUUGGCCUAGAUAGCUCAUAUAUACUUCAAUCUUGUAAUUUAAAAGGUCAAGUCACAAGUUCGGAGAUGAUUGUUUGCAACUAGUUUGCUUUGAUGAUUCUGUAAUUGCAUCAGGCCAUUACAGAAAAUGGCUCUAGUAGUUCAUUAUUUAUUUCAAUUCAUGAAAACGAUAUAGUGCGCCGCCCCGCCUGCAAUGUUGGCUUGCUAGCUGCCAGUGGUUCGUGUGCCCUGGUCGCCGCUACUAUAGGGUAAGGUGAGUGAGAAAGAGAUUACUGAGAGGGAUUUGCUGCUGCUGUUGUUCCAUGUAUUGAUAGAGGAUUGUCGAAUCUAAAGCCAGCUGCACCUUCACAUCCUAUGCACUGUCACAUAUGAGUUGGUGCUCCUGCAGUAGUGUUCUAAUUAGCAAAAGAACAAUGAGAAGGGAAAGAAGAUGGUGGUUAAAUAUUAAGUAACUAAGAACUGGUAGAAUGAGGAUAACAUAAAACAAUGUGUGACUGAAAGAAACUAAAUAUUUUGGUGCGAAAAGUUGUUGCUUUUCUCUGGUGCUGUAGUUCAAUUUACUACAACCGUUCUGCUUGUAAUAGCAUCUUCUGCAGGAAGUUUGAGAUGGGAACACUUGUUUCAAAUGCUCUCCUCUCAUUCGCGAUGCUGCCAACAAGGAAAACCUCUAGGAAGCUUUGCUGGUAAUGCAAUCUCCUAUCCAUCCCAGCUCCAACUUACUGCUGCUAAUCAAUUGUCUGCAUGUAAUAGAAAAGUAGGUGUUUGUUGCAUAAGUUCUAAACUUGUAGGUGUUUGUUGCACAAGUUUGAGUUGUCGCUACUCGGAGAAGCUACUACUAUUGCUAGGUUUGGGGUUCACAUGCUACAACACAUGGAUCCAUGGACAAUGAAUUCAUAUGAGAGAGAUAAUUUGGUUGUGUCAUGCUCUUUAGUGUUUGUUUCUAUUCCUGUUAGCACCAAAUAGUGUUUGAAUUUUUUUAUUUUGUGCUCUCACAUAUUUGUUUGGGCAGUACAAACACAUCAGCACAGUGAGUAAGGAUGUGGCACCUUGGGGAAUAAUGCCUACAAAGCAAGCCCGGGAUGACGAUGCUGAUCACUAGCAUGAAGGAUACCAAGCAAGCUAAGGAUGAAGUACACGAUGAAGGCAAUGAGGACAAUGAAAACAUGCAAUCCAUAAACAUAGCAGCAGCUCCAAGUUCUUCUAUGUAUGAUAAUAUGAUUGCUACUUUUUAAAGGAAGUGUAUAUGAUAGUUUGAUGUUUCUACAAGAAAGGAAAAAAUGGUUUGAAUUAAGAACAUUCAUCAGUAUGAAUAAAAAACAAUUAUCAGUUCGAGUG
Molecule: long non-coding RNA, 4159 nt
Organism: Triticum dicoccoides
Lineage: Eukaryota; Viridiplantae; Streptophyta; Magnoliopsida; Poales; Poaceae
Exons: 5
Source: RefSeq, a predicted model, not a curated record